AUCAGUGUCUUGUCUCACUCUUCUGGUGUGCAAAUGAAGCUUGUCCAAUAUGUGUUACCCCAGAAAGAAUUAAGAUAAUUGAAGUCAGAGUAUCUGAACUUGGAUCACUUGCAAGUAAGGAUGAUCUGCAUGCACAUGUUCUGUUAAGAUAAUGGUGAACAGAUCCAGAUGAUUCCUGAUUUAAAGCUAUAGAUGAGGGAGUAAUCCUGAUUCCCAUAUUAAAAGGAGGGGAAUUUCAUGACGGGGAGAAGACUGAGAAUGUGUGUAACCUUUCUGCUCUGAGACUGGGAGUACUGAAGAAUGAAUAUGUGAGACAGACAGGAACAGGAAGAGCCGAAAGCCUGAGGGACCUUUGACCAUUCAGAGAGCAUUCAGUGUAGGUUGCUUGUCUGAAAUCUGUUCUGAAGCUUCAUUGCAAAGCAAGCACGGCACUAAUGAUGGAUGCGAGCGGACGUCUUAAGGGUAACUGGAUACGGCAUCUUCGGAAACGGUGGUGUUUUGGUGGGUGGAAGAGAUAAUCCAGCCUGCCAAGUGCUAUGCACUCGUUCCAGUGCCAAAAUACGAAACGCACACCAACAGCUUUAAUGUAAGGGGCAUACUAGGUUCCUCCAGCUGCACUGAACGAUUAUGUGUGCUAGGUGGAUGAAUAUAAGCUUAGCUAUCUGCUUCAAUCGAUUUACAGCACCCGCUGUGAGGGAGCCCUGCUCCACGACUUGGCUACCAGGUACUGGGAUCAUACGAGAGGUAAUCGUGCCUGCUGCUAAACAUUUUCUACCUUAUUUCCAUUUGCAUUUGUCUGACUUCAGCUUCCAGUCAUUGGUUCUUGUUAUGCCUUUCUCUGAUAGAUUAAAGAGCUCUUUAGUAGUUGCUAUUUUCUCUCCAGGAAGGUUCUUUUACACUGUAAUCAGUUUAUUUCUCAAACUAUUUUUUUUUUCUUUCUUAAAGCUAAAGGUUUGUAUGAUGUUCGUUAUAUUUUCUUUUCCACAUCCCUGGAUUAUUUUUUGUGUCUCUUUCCUAUUCCUUCUCUAA
This 1029-nucleotide long non-coding RNA is filed under the name Coturnix japonica (Japanese quail). RNAcentral's name for it is "lncRNA (ENSCJPG00005020422.1)". The record is from RNAcentral. Lineage: Eukaryota; Metazoa; Chordata; Aves; Galliformes; Phasianidae.